RNAcentral lists this ribosomal RNA (655 nucleotides) under Paracoccidioides brasiliensis. RNAcentral's name for it is "LSU rRNA". It matches the Rfam family "Eukaryotic large subunit ribosomal RNA", at positions 1 to 667 of the family's 3401-position model. The record is from RNAcentral. Lineage: Eukaryota; Fungi; Ascomycota; Eurotiomycetes; Onygenales; Ajellomycetaceae.
GUUGACCUCGGAUCAGGUAGGGAUACCCGCUGAACUUAAGCAUAUCAAUAAGCGGAGGAAAAGAAACCAACAGGGAUUGCCUCAGUAACGGCGAGUGAAGCGGCAAGAGCUCAAAUUUGAAAUCUGGCUCCUUUGGGGCCCGAGUUGUAAUUUGUAGAGGAUGCUUCGGGCGUGGCCGCGGUCUAAGUCCCCUGGAACGGGGCGUCGCAGAGGGUGAGAAUCCCGUCUUCGGCCGGCCGGCCCCGCCCGUGUGAAGCUCCUUCGACGAGUCGAGUUGUUUGGGAAUGCAGCUCUAAAUGGGUGGUAAAUUUCAUCUAAAGCUAAAUACUGGUCGGAGACCGAUAGCGCACAAGUAGAGUGAUCGAAAGAUGAAAAGCACUUUGAAAAGAGAGUUAAACAGCAUGUGAAAUUGUUGAAAGGGAAGCGCUUGCGACCAGAGUCGGCCGCGGGGGCUCAGCGGGCACUCGUUGCCCGUGCACUCCCCCGUGGUCGGGCCAGCGUCGGUUUCGACGGCCGGUCAAAGGCCCCCGGAAUGUGUCGCCUCUCGGGGCGUCUUAUAGCCGGGGGUGCAAUGCGGCCAGUCGGGACCGAGGAACGCGCUCCGGCACGGACGCUGGCUUAAUGGUUGUAAGCGACCCGUCUUGAAACACGGACC